Molecule: transfer RNA, 76 nt
Filed under: candidate division BRC1 bacterium ADurb.Bin183
Lineage: Bacteria; Candidatus Sumerlaeota
Also listed under: 2 other names
Description: tRNA-Lys
Rfam family: tRNA
About the family: Transfer RNA (tRNA) molecules are approximately 80 nucleotides in length. Their secondary structure includes four short double-helical elements and three loops (D, anti-codon, and T loops).
Source: RNAcentral
GCGCUAUUAGCUCAAUUGGUAGAGCAGUGGACUCUUAAUCCAUUGGUUCCAGGUUCGAGUCCUGGAUGGCGCACCA